UCUGUUAUUUUUAAAUGUACGUCUGCCUAGUAUAAAGCAUACAUUUUUAUUUUUAGCAAUCUUAAUGAGGCCGGGCAGAUGCAUCUCCUCCAAAUGCUUAGGGUAAUAGACAUAAUUUGAAAUGCAGAAGUUUAGCAUUCUCCAGGAAAAAAAAUUAAACCUUAAUGUAUUCUUGGUACAAUCCAGAGAAAAUUAGAUCUGUUUUAAGUCCUGUUGACAUCAAUGGGAUUUGGGGGCCCAAUUAAGCAGGUACAUUCAAUGGAUGUUGAUUGGAGACAGAUGCACUUAGCAAAAUUUGGAUUGCACCCAAUAGGUUUUGUGUGCUGAUAUCCUUAAAGCCUACCGAACAAGCAUAUUUGUAAUACGUAGGUAGUACGUUGUUAAUAGCGCACUAAUGUCAGGCAGACAAAUCUAUUAGACCUGUUGGGAUCUUGAUGAAACAGUAAUUUAUAAUGCACAAAGUAUGCAGUGUGCAUAGAGCCACAGACAGAAUCUAUUUAUAUCUUAAUUUAAUAUCUCUGGGUUGUUUAAAAUAUUAAAGUGUAAAAGACGCCAACAGUAUAUGUAGAUCCUGAUGUGGAAACAGACACAUUAUGAAGAGACCUUGAAGACCCUGUAACCAAGGCAAGUGAUCUUUAGGCUUGUAAAGGAGGUUGAGCCAGAUAUAAACCAGCCCUUCCCACUCUAUUUCUUUUAUUAAAAACUAACCUACUAUAUCUAAGGAGUAAAUAAGAAUCCCCAGACCCUGAUCUUAGACACUGAUGUCAUGGAAAGAUUUGAAAUAGGGGCACUCAUCAUAACAUUUUCCACAGCCACUUCCUAAGGAGAGCUCCAAUACAAACAGUUGUGGUAGUGUACAACAGACCAACCAGAGAUCUUAAUUGCUCAUUCAUGACCAAGCAACCUUUCAAAAUAUUUUGGGUUACAAUAGGGAUAAAUUAUAGCAAACUCAUUUUCUAUCCUUUGACUUUAAGCACUGCAGCUAAGCUGAGAGGGACCAGAAAAGGUGCUUGAAGGAGUAGCAGGUAAUUAUCAGCCUCAUCCAUGCCAAUGGAUUAUGAUUAACAUUAUCUAUGCUAAUCAUAAAUUUCUGCCCAUUAUAUCACUGGUCUCACUCACAAAUUCAAUGUAAUACCAAUGACGAUAGGCAAGACUAAGGCCAAUCAUAAGAAAUGAAGUUGUUCAUCAUCAUUCCACUUCCAAUUCUACCAGCUUUUUUUCCUUGCACAAUCAUAGCUGUUGAUCUCAGGUUUGUUUUAUUUUUUUUAAAAAAUCAAUUAAUGUGAAUUUUAAAUGAAUUUUGAAAACAUUUUCCAUUUUUCAGCUUGUUAUAUCUGUACCCCAGUGGCAAAGUGAGUUAAAGCACUGAGCUGCUGAACUUGCAGACUGAAAGGUCCUAGGUUCAAACCCCAGGAGCAGUGUGAGUGGCCACUGUCAGCCCCAGCUUCUGCCAACCUAGCAGUUCGAAACCUGCCAAUGUGAGUAGAUCAAUAGGUACCGCUCCAGCGGGAAGGUAACGGCGUUCCAUGCAAUCAUGCUGGCCACAUGACCUUGGAGGUGUCUACGGACAACGCCGGCUCUUUGGCUUAGAAAUGGAGAUGAGCACCAACCCCCAGAGUCAGACAUGACUGGACUUAACGUCAGGGGAAAACCUUUACCUUUACCUUUAUAUCUGUAAUUAAAUUUGUUUACAAUAGAACAAAGAUCCUUUAAAUUUUAAUACCAUUAAUAAUUCUAAUUAUAUAAAAUAUAAAUAUGAUAUUCAGAAAUUAUUUUAAAAGAAAGCCUCUUCUUAUGUCUUUCUCAGGAAGAAGAAAAGACCAUGAAUCAUCAUUUUCCUGACCAGCUUUGUACUCUGUGGAUCAGUUGAUGGAAUUUCCCAUUUUCUUCUAGUUCCUUUUAAAUUUCAAAUCUCUGUGUGAGGUUUUCAAUAAGACCUGAAUCAGCCCAAAUGAAGGAGCUUUACAUCUUGGACAUGGAGGCCUGAAGCUUUCAGCUAGGAAUGUAAAGGUUGCUUAAUGUGCUACUGUGCUCUUCGCAAGUGCCAAUAUUUUCUUUUCAAGCAUGAAGCUGAGUUAGUAGUAACUGCUGUUGGACACCCAUUGUGUGUGUUACGCUGGUGGGUUUCUAAUGCAUUUGUGUACUACAGAGCACUGUGUUAGAUAGGAGACCACUAUAUUUUGGUAUGUAUUUGUUGAAGCAAUUAAUAAAGAGAACUAAGAAAUAUCAAAUAAGCAAAAGAUUUAGCUUCUGAAAUAAAUAUUUAUAUACUGUUCCACUCAUCUAUUAUCUACAUUUUCUGCAUAUUUUUUUGUCAUUGAGAGGCCUGGUAAAAUAAUCCUGUAUCUGUCAAGGGGAUGAAGCCAAAAUAUGCUAGAACAGCCAAGGUACAUAAUUAUGGUUUAGGAUGUCCUUUAUUUUAGCCUUCACAAGUCUUAUAGAACCAGCAAGUGUCCCUUAUUGUAAGGGACAGGAAAGGUAAUGAGUUUAUAUAGAAUGAAUAAGAUGUCAACAAAUCCCAUAUUUGGAGGUGUUGGUCCUUCGUAAAAGCAGAAAUGUGAGGCUCAGGUAAUUUAUGAAUGUGGGCAAGUGAGCUGGAAUGUGGGCAAGUCAUCCCUCCAUGUUUGCUGGAAUUAGGCACAUAGGGCCACCACAAAAGUUGGGAGAAAAUGAAUUGAAUUACAAAAUGUUUUUAACAUAAGAGAACACCUCUCCAGGAAUCUAAGUCUUACAGCAUGACUAUAGUCCACUUACAGCAGAAGUUUUUGGGUUACUGAAAGCACGACCUUCAACUUUUGCUCAUAUUUACAAUGUGUAGAAAUCAUGAGGUAUGUGAGUUGUGUGCAGACCUUAGUAGGGUCCUAUGAUACUUUUGAAACACCCACUGACCUUCCAAAAAUAUUCAGCACAAAAAAAUCCUUGUUCAUAUAGUCACAGUCAAGCCAAAAAAAUACCUUAAAUGUUGACUCCAUGCUUUAUGGAAUUGUAGAAUUGUUGGGUGGAAAGGGAUUUCUCAACCCAGAAUAGUCCAAACCCCCUCCUAACAUGAAAGGCAAUUGUUUCAUCACUUCUAGUUACCCAAAAGUCAUAUUGACAAGCCAACAAUUUCCAAAACUCUGAUGCUGCUGAAAAUGGAUCGGUGCGACAUCCAGUUUUCUAAAUAAUUCUGUGUGAAAUGCAACUAAUGUGAAUCGAAACAGUCCUGAGGUCUAAAAGGGAAUAAAAACUAGUCUGAGUGAAACAAACCAGAGAGGAGAAGCAAAAAGAUAACCCAAAGAAGCUAUUGUCAAAGGUCACAAAAAUCAAGGUAAGGAUAUUAACCCUUGAUAUCCUUGCCUUAAUCUUUGUGAUGUUUGAUAAAAGUCUUCCAUGGAAGUGUCAAACAACCCUGCCUUUAUGAAACCUGUCCCUGCUGGUUUGCGUUUAAUUACUUUGAUUUUAUCUGCUUGGAUUUUAAUGUAUUGUCCAUUAUUUUAUAUUGUGUAUUGUUGGAAGGUUUUAAGUUUUUGUCAAAUAUGUUGUGUCGUUGUUUUGGGCUUGUCCCUGUUGUGAGCCGCCCCGAGUCCCUUCGGGGAGAUGGGGCAGGAUAUAGAAAUAAAGAUUAUUAUUAUUAUUAUUA
Molecule: long non-coding RNA, 3619 nt
Organism: Anolis carolinensis (green anole)
Lineage: Eukaryota; Metazoa; Chordata; Lepidosauria; Squamata; Anolidae
Exons: 2
Source: RefSeq, a predicted model, not a curated record